This 28-nucleotide small RNA is filed under the name Bombyx mori (domestic silkworm). RNAcentral's name for it is "ovarian small RNA-26489". Lineage: Eukaryota; Metazoa; Arthropoda; Insecta; Lepidoptera; Bombycidae. The record is from RNAcentral.
UCCAACCACGAUAUGGGCAUCGAAAUGG